CAGUCGCCACGGUAAUACGUAGGGUGCAAGCGUUACUCGGAAUUACUGGGCGUAAAGCGUGCGUAGGUGGUGGUUUAAGUCCGUUGUGAAAGCCCUGGGCUCAACCUGGGAAUUGCAGUGGAUACUGGGUCACUAGAGUGUGGUAGAGGAUAGUGGAAUUUCCGGUGUAGCAGUGAAAUGCGUAGAGAUCGGAAGGAACAUCUGUGGCGAAGGCGACUAUCUGGGCCAACACUGACACUGAGGCACGAAAGCGUGGGGAGCAAACAGGAUUAGAUACCCGUGUAGUCCCUGUCUCUUAUAC
RNAcentral lists this ribosomal RNA (301 nucleotides) under uncultured bacterium. RNAcentral's name for it is "partial 16S ribosomal RNA". It matches the Rfam family "Bacterial small subunit ribosomal RNA", at positions 509 to 807 of the family's 1533-position model. The record is from RNAcentral.